ACCCGUUGAUCCUGCGGGAAGUUGCUGCUAUUUGGGUUCGACUAAGCCAUGCAAGCACGGAUUCCUUGAGAACACCGGCAGAUCGCUCAGUAACACGUCGAUAAUCUAACCUUAAGUUUAGGAUAACCUUGGGAAACUGAGGAUAAUAUUUAAUAAGAGAAAGGUAUUGGAAAAUCCUUUCUCUGAAAAGCAAUGCUUAAGGAUGAGUCGGCGGCGGAUUAGAUAGUUGGUGAGGUAACGGCUCACCAAGUCGAAGAUCCGUAGAGGCCUUGGAAGAGGGAGCCUCGAGAAGGGCACUGAGAUACUGGCCCUAGCCCUACGGGGUGCAGCAGGCGCGAAAACUUUACAAUGCACGAAAGUGUGAUAAGGGAACCCAAAGUGCUUUACUUAGUAAAGCUUUUGCCAAGAGCAAAUAUCUUGGAGAAUAAGUGGUGGGCAAGACUGGUGCCAGCCGCCGCGGUAAUACCAGCUCCACGAGUGGGAACUAUAAUUAUUGGGCCUAAAGCGUCCGUAGCCGGUUUAAUAAAUUUUUUGUGAAAUUGUUGGGCUAAACUUAACAACGUGCAGAAAAGACUGUUAAACUUGGGACUGGGAAGAGUUAGAAGUAUCUUAAGGGUAGCGGUAAAAUGUUAUAAUCCUAAAGAGACUACCAAUGGCGAAAGCAUCUAACUAGAACAGGUCCGACGGUGAGGGACGAAAGCCAGGGGAGCAAACCGGAUUAGAUACCCGAGUAGUCCUGGCCAUAAACGCUGCGAGCAAGAUGUUGCGUAUUCUUCGUGAAUAUGCAGUAUCGAAGAGAAGUCGUUAAGCUCGCCGCCUGGGAAGUAUGGUCGCAAGACUGAAACUUAAAGGAAUUGGCGGGGGAGCACUACAAGGGGUGCGGCGUGCGGUUUAAUCUAACUCAACACAGAGAAUCUCACCAGAAGCGACGGCACAAUGAAAGUCAGAUUAAAGGUUUUACUUGAGGAGCCGAGAGGUAGUGCAUGGCCGCCGUCAGCUCGUUCCGUAAGGUGUCCUGUUAAGUCAGGCAACGAGCGAGACCUGUAUCUACAAUUGCCAGCAGAUUCUUUCGAAUGACUGGGCACAUUGUAGGAACUGCCUUGGAAACAAGGAGGAAGGUGCAGGCUACGGUAGGUCUGUAUGCUCCGAAUCUUCUGGGCUACACGCGCGCAACAAUGGUAGAGACAAUGGGAUGCAACUCCGAAAGGAGAAGCUAAUCCUCCAAACUCUAUCUUAGUUCAAAUUGAGGAUUGUAACUCAUCCUCAUGACGCUGGAAUCCCUAGUAAUCAGACGUUAUCAUCGUCUGGUGAAUAUGUCCCUGCUCCUUGCACACACUGCCCGUCAAAUCAACCGAGUUGGGUCUAGAUGAGAUUUAAUUUUUUAAUUAAGGCGAAUCUAGGCUUAGUGAGGUGGGUUAAGUCGUCACAAGGUC
This 1433-nucleotide ribosomal RNA is filed under the name metagenome. RNAcentral describes it as "bacterial SSU rRNA". It matches the Rfam family "Archaeal small subunit ribosomal RNA". The record is from RNAcentral.